Molecule: long non-coding RNA, 354 nt
Organism: Perca fluviatilis (European perch)
Lineage: Eukaryota; Metazoa; Chordata; Actinopteri; Perciformes; Percidae
Exons: 4
Source: RefSeq, a predicted model, not a curated record
CUCCUCCAACGGUCUUUUUCUUUUCUCCGAGGCGGGAGAACACUUUUGGAAACACUGAAGCGAUUGAAUAUGGAGGACUUUGUUAAACUAAAGUUAACAGAACGGCAACUUCUUGAGCUGAUUGACACUUUUGCAGAUUGUGCAGGACUUCGAGGUUCUUCAUAAAGAGGCAUCAGACUAAAUCUUUGACCUGGAGGAGGUUCAGCGAUAAGCUUGUUCAUGCGGCCCAGUGGGAGGGGUAGAAGCUCCACGUGCAGACAGAGACAGAGUCUUUGUCUCAAGGCUCCAAAGACUACAUUGCCCUGAUGGUUCUGCCAGGCCUGAUUCCACCUGCAGUCUUCAGGAUGGGCCAAA